This 84-nucleotide transfer RNA is filed under the name Candidatus Tayloriibacteriota bacterium. RNAcentral's name for it is "tRNA-Leu". It matches the Rfam family "tRNA". Rfam says of the family: Transfer RNA (tRNA) molecules are approximately 80 nucleotides in length. The record is from RNAcentral. Lineage: Bacteria; Candidatus Tayloriibacteriota.
GCCGGAGUGGCGGAAUGGCAGACGCGCGCGACUCAAAAUCGCGUAUCGAAAGGUGUGUGGGUUCGAGUCCCACCUCCGGCACCA